CGGCAACGGAUAUCUCGGCUCUCGCAUUGAUGAAGAACGUAGCGAAAUGCGAUACUUGGUGUGAAUUGCAGAAUCCCGUGAACCAUCGAGUCUUUGAACGCAAGUUGCGCCCGAAGCCAUCAGGCCGAGGGCACGCCUGCCUGGGCGUCACACGCCGUUGCCCCC
RNAcentral lists this ribosomal RNA (165 nucleotides) under Malus toringoides. RNAcentral describes it as "5.8S ribosomal RNA". The stretch from base 3 to 150 matches the Rfam family "5.8S ribosomal RNA". From Rfam's summary of the family: 5.8S ribosomal RNA (5.8S rRNA) is a component of the large subunit of the eukaryotic ribosome. It is transcribed by RNA polymerase I as part of the 45S precursor that also contains 18S and 28S rRNA. The record is from RNAcentral. Lineage: Eukaryota; Viridiplantae; Streptophyta; Magnoliopsida; Rosales; Rosaceae.